CUAUUAUCCAUAGAAUCAAUACUGUAGAAUGCUACCUAACUUCAAUAUGUAUGUCUUUUAUGUCAUGUAAGAUUUCCACUUGGAAAUCAAUUUCCCUCCAAGUAUUCUCCAAUAUUUGCAGUAUAAUUAUUUUUAUUGCAACAAUUCUGACCUUCAGUUCAUCAAGAAAAGUCACAGGGUUCUUGUAAACCAUGGAUCUUCAUGUAUCUUCACAGGAAGAAAUCAAGCAUCAUAAUAUUGAGCAAGUGCGGAAGCCAUGGAGCCACGUAUCAUGCCUAACCCAUCAUUCAGGAAAAUGAAUGUUAACAGAAUUCUCAGACAAGAGUCUGUGUGGCAUCUUAUUGGAACAUCAUAUUUGGCCGAUUAUCUUCCAACUGAAGUAACAUUAAGUCUAGGCAUGUCCCAGAUAUAUCAUUGUUAUCACUGUUUUUUCUUAAAAAGAAAAAAGUCUCAAAACUUCCAAACAUGACAAAGCAUUUUGGAUUAUUGCUCUUGAAUAUUCAAAUAGCUGAUUUAAUUUCAAAAAACC
RNAcentral lists this long non-coding RNA (529 nucleotides) under Androctonus crassicauda. The record is from RNAcentral. Lineage: Eukaryota; Metazoa; Arthropoda; Arachnida; Scorpiones; Buthidae.